RNAcentral lists this non-coding RNA (26 nucleotides) under Mus musculus (house mouse). Lineage: Eukaryota; Metazoa; Chordata; Mammalia; Rodentia; Muridae. The record is from RNAcentral.
UGCAGGUGGGUGUGUUUGUGGAAUCC